AGUGGCGGACGGGUGAGUAACGCGUGGGUAACCUGCCUCAUACAGGGGGAUAACAGUUAGAAAUGACUGCUAAUACCGCGUAAGACCACAGCACCGCAUGGUGCAGGGGUAAAAACUCCGGUGGUAUGAGAUGGACCCGCGUCUGAUUAGGUAGUUGGUGGGGUAACGGCCUACCAAGCCGACGAUCAGUAGCCGACCUGAGAGGGUGACCGGCCACAUUGGGACUGAGACACGGCCCAA
Molecule: ribosomal RNA, 240 nt
Filed under: uncultured bacterium
Lineage: Bacteria
Description: partial 16S ribosomal RNA
Rfam family: Bacterial small subunit ribosomal RNA
Source: RNAcentral